CCUACGGGGGGCAGCAGUAGGGAAUUUUGCGCAAUGGGGGAAACCCUGACGCAGCAACACCGCGUGAAUGUUAAGCCCUUCGGGGUGUAAAGUUCUGUCAAUAGGGACGAAUUUUGACUGUACCUAUAAAGGAAGCACCGGCUAACUCCGUGCCAGCAGCCGCGGUAAUACGGGGGGUGCAAGCGUUGUCCGGAAUCAUUGGGCGUAAAGCGUUCGUAGGCGGUAUGUCAAGUCUGAUGUUAAAGCCCGGGGCUCAACUCCGGUUCGGCAUUGGAUACUGGCAAACUAGAAUGUGGUAGAGGUAA
This 305-nucleotide ribosomal RNA is filed under the name uncultured bacterium. RNAcentral describes it as "bacterial SSU rRNA". It matches the Rfam family "Bacterial small subunit ribosomal RNA", at positions 338 to 660 of the family's 1533-position model. The record is from RNAcentral.